CCUUGAUAUUUCUCUCUGCAUUAUUUCCUGUAAAUGCUCAAUAUUGUGUAUCCUGAGAUGCCUCUGAGUGGCUGUGUGCAGAAGUUUAAUGCAGAAGCAGAAUUGGUUAAGAUGACAUGCACCAAAUUAAGUGUCAUAGGCAGUACAAAUGAAGCAGCAGCAAUUGAUUAUACCUCACUGACAGCAUAAAACAGAACAAACAUACAGUUCCUUCCAUGAAAAGCCCAUGCCAGAAUGGAAGCCCUGGACAAACACAAAAGGAGGCAUGGUCCCUGCCCCUCUCAGGCGGAACAGUGGCUCAGUCUCUACCAUGGCACCAUCUGCACUGUAAAAGGACAAAACAGAAAGACAGAGAUUAGGGAAAAGAGCCAGAUUCGGUGAGCCAGAGGCAGCUGCAGACAGAAAGUCCCUGAGGAAAAUCUCCAAUGGAUCAGUGCUGCUAGGAGCCAUGGCGGAGAGGGUGCUUCAUGGAUCCCUUACGGCUGGUGCAGAGGCACAGUGCUUCCAUUCAAAUGGUUCUGGCCUCUAGUGGCUUCCCCAGCAUCUUCUAGGGUUGAAACCAGCUCUGACUGCCUUUUCCACAAGGAAGCAAACCACCCCCCUGUGCUGAGAUGGUGUUGUCAGUGAAUCCUUGCAGAGGAAACACCCCUGUAGUCCCAUUUCACAGAUUUUUCCAUUACAGGGGAUGGUCUGGGCCAAUUUAAGCUCCACUAUAUUUACAAGCUCUUUUAUAAUAGCUAUAUAUAUAACAGAUUUUUUGCCUAGUCCAACUUUUUGCUAUUUCAGCGAGAAGCAGUAUUAAGGAUUUAUAUUUUAUUUUUUUAAUUACUAAUCUCUGUAGAGGGAAAUUAAUUAUGUUGCAUGUGGUCACACAUCAUGCCAGGAAUAACAUUUAGCGUAUAUAGUUUAACUCAGUAGACCAUUUUAAAAAAUCUUUUUCUAAAGUUUAGUUUUAGUUUGGGGACUAUGGAGUGUUUAACUUACCUUCAGGAGGAUAUUUUGUAUAAAAAUAUCAUGAAACUGGGCUACUAGAAUAUCAGCCAUGCUUGACUGAUACUAACCAUAUGAAAAAAUGUAUAAGACAUCUAAAUUUAAUAUGAGAACUACAGUUAAACCGAAACAUUUUUCUUCUAAAAUGGAUGGCCAAACUUUAAAGGGGCUGAUGUUAUUCUUCUUAAGGUCCAAAUAUAUUUUUGGAGACUGGGUGCCUACUAUUUGCAUUAAUGAAUACCUCAGGGAAAGCAGGGGGGGAAAUAAUUUUUCCUAAAUGUUAGUGUAGGUUAGAGGAAAAUUUGAAAAAUAAUUUUAAAUCAAGAUGCCUGGGAUCUUGUCUGAGUAAAGGGGUGAAGUUUUCAGGGAAGCCUCUUUGUAUGUUUCCCUGUACCUUCUCACUGCAUACCUAGGUGGGGCCAAAACCAAGCUGGCCUGAAAACUAGGAUUAUUUUCUAGCAUUUGGUGAAGAAUGUGUGCUAAAUGAGGCAGAGUAACCUAUCAAAUGUAAACACUAAAACAAAUUAAUAGUAUUUUAGACAAAAACCAGUGCUUCAGGACCAGUUGUUAUGUAUUGGAGAGUUGGUUUACCUGUAUCUAUGUUUAUACAUCUACAGAUAUAUUACAUCAUCUAACUAUCAAGAGUAUAUGCAUAAGGAGAAUUACCCCUGCUGAGGGGAUGAAGAAACUCUACAUACACAAAAUGGCUGCUAAGCAGCUAUUUCUGUCCAGAAGAGGAAGGAAAUGGCCUCAGUUCAUGUUAUGCCUCAUCUCUAUCUCCAACGUGUCCCCCUUUGCACCUGUAGCAGAAGGCAAUGCACACAGGGGAGGAGUAGGUAAUGAACAAGCCCUAUGCAAUCCAGUGUAGUUUAUGGAGCAGGCAUUCCUUCACUGGGUAGUCUGUUUUCUCCCCAAUGGCCUGAUUCAAAGUCCACCAAAUUCAGUAGAAAGAAUCCUGUUGACUUCAACGGGUUUUGGAUCAGUCUCCAAAACUGGUGCUCAAGCAGUUUGUUUCAUGGGAUAUGUAGGGAACAUCUCUGGAUGGUGGGCCCCAUUGAGUUAAGGAUAUUACAAAUAAAUGAGCUAAUUCUAUGCAGAAGGAUUUAUAGUAAGCAAAGUAUUUUCUGCUGUUAUUGGGAUCCCAGGACAUGCACAGCCUCAUUAAUAGUAUCCUGUGACGUGUUUUGUGUGUGUAGUGAGUCAUACAAAAUUCAAAUAAGAAAAACAUUUACUAUUUAUUAAUUUGCUUACAAAUUAUCCUUUCAUACACUUACAUUUUUGUUUUAAAAAUAUUUGUGUUUUAAAUCUCAUUUCAGUGGUUUACUGUAGUCUCCCAUUGGGCGUCUCAUUUUUUCCCGACACUAUUCUUCAUUAUUAGUAAUGGAGUAACAACUCCAAAGCACUGAAAAGAAGUGGAUAUGCUAUUUAUUUUUGUUCCCCCUACUUCUGCAGUCUGUUUGGAUGGCUGUGCAUUGGUUAGCUAAGAAAUAGCAGUAGGAUGUAGUUUAAUUGGCUAAGUUAUUACAUCAGUUUUCAGAGCUGUGGACAGAGUUUCAAGUAAAUGCUUGUAUUCAUCUGUGUGCAAGAGUGAAUGUGAUGCACAAAAAGAUAAAUACCUGACUACUCUAGGUCUUUAAAAUCUGAAAUAUGCAUGAUACGACACUAACCAUUAGAAGAGGGGGUUAUGUUUGAAGGGCCAGAAUCAUGUUUUGUGUUGCAAGCCCCUGAUGACAGUAAGUCUGCUUGGAGCAAGGUCAUAGAGGCACAAUCCACCUGCGUGCCACAUUCUGCCAGGGAUCUGAGCCACACAAUGCAUUCCCAAAAUUGAAUGAGGCAGGACUGGAAGUGGGAGCAGGGAGAGGGCAGGACAGAUGCUGUGAUACAAAAACCUCAACCACGGCUGCUAAUCUGCUGAGUCCACAGCCUAUCAUACGGACCAAAAUUAUCUCAUUGUUUCCUUUUACUGCUCCAUUGGUCUGUCUGCAUCCAUCUGUUGUCUCUUGUCUUAUACUUUGACGGUAAGCUCUUUGCAGCAGGAACCUUCUUUUUGUUGUGUGUUUAUACAGAAUCAAACAGAAGUAGCAGGUUGGAGGAUGAAUUCAACAGAAGCAACACCAUAGCUGGAAAUAUAUCACAGUACCAACUAAAAGAUACUACAUAGGAGUACCUUCUAUUGUCCAGGUCAUUAAAAUCCCCCAUCACUCAUAUUGGAAGAAGGCACCCAUAACCACAGUCUUGUUACACCUCCUGCUUAACCUCCAUAGUUCAGCAAUAGGGCUGGUUGAAAUUUUUUCAAUUUGAGCAGAAAAUUGGGUUUUCAACUACAUGAAAUAUUCUAUUGAAAAUUCCAACUUUUUGUAAAAAACAAACAAACCUUAACACACAAAAACAUUUCAGUUUUUCAACAAAAAGUUGAAAUUUUCCAUUGUGGGAGUGUGUAAAAACCAUUUUCCAACCAGCUCUACUCAGCAAUUAUCUUCUGUUACUUCUCAUGAAAUGAAAGCCUUUCCAAUACAAGUAUUUUAUGUUAAGGUGUAAAGGAAGAUUCUGAGAGGUGAUGAUGUUUCUGGGGCCAACAGUCCACAAUUCCAACUGACCCUUUUGCCUGGCUCUCGCUUUGAAGAGAACUUGUCCCACAGUUUAGACAGAUUUGAGGUUUAACCAAUUCACGACAACUUGGAAUCAAUUGGAAAACAACAAGGAAAACCAGUGGUGUAGAUAUACAUCACAGACACAUUUGUAAAUCAUUAGGGCCAAAUCCUGAGAAGUACUGAGCACCUGAAGUGCUACUGACACCUAGUAGGAGUUACAGGAGUCCACAGGACCGACUCUGGUGCAGACAAGGUUCUAGUAUCACCAUUGUUGCUAGCCUUCAGCUAGCUAUCUUUGCUAUCUCUGAACACAAGAUCUGAGAUUGUGUCUUUCAACUGUAUAUAAAUACAAGGUUGGGAAGGUGCUUUGUACCUUUCCUGCACUCUUACACACAAUCUUCCCCUGAGCCGACGAAAGUAUAUUAACACUAAUAUAACAUAAACAUGUCAGCAUAAAUAUCUAGGGGGCUGCUAAACCCAAGGCUGUGAGUUCAAUCCUUGAGGGGGCCGUUUAGAGAUCUGGAGCAAAAAAAAAGUCUGGGGAUUGGUCCUGCUUUGAGCAAGGGGUUGGACUAGAUCAUCUCCUGAGGUCCUUUCCAACCCUGAUAGUCUAUGUCUAUGUUAACUCAGAAAUGUCAACAGGUCAUUUGUUCUUGCUUCUCAUUUUAACUCUUGUCAUUUAAAAAAAAUAUGAAGUUAUUUACUCUCAAACAAUAAUGAAAGAGUCAAAAUAACAUCGCUUUUGGAAAGGUAACUGCCAGAAGGUAUUAUUUCAUUAAUGUAGUAUUCAUGAUUCUGAAAUUCAGGAUUAAUUCUAAAAUUUCCAUCAAAAAUUGCUAAAGGAUUCUUUCAAUAAAGUCUCUUAAGGAACUGUGUA
Chrysemys picta bellii (western painted turtle) is the source of this 4458-nucleotide long non-coding RNA. RefSeq lists it as uncharacterized. The record is from RefSeq and is a predicted model, not a curated record. Lineage: Eukaryota; Metazoa; Chordata; Testudines; Emydidae.